AGAGUUUGAUUCUGGCUCAGAUUGAACGCUGGCGGCAUGCCUUACACAUGCAAGUCGAACGGUAACAGGUCUUCGGAUGCUGACGAGUGGCGAACGGGUGAGUAAUACAUCGGAACGUGCCCGAGAGUGGGGGAUAACGAAGCGAAAGCUUUGCUAAUACCGCAUACGAUCUCAGGAUGAAAGCAGGGGACCGCAAGGCCUUGCGCUCACGGAGCGGCCGAUGGCAGAUUAGGUAGUUGGUGGGAUAAAAGCUUACCAAGCCGACGAUCUGUAGCUGGUCUGAGAGGACGACCAGCCACACUGGGACUGAGACACGGCCCAGACUCCUACGGGAGGCAGCAGUGGGGAAUUUUGGACAAUGGGCGCAAGCCUGAUCCAGCCAUGCCGCGUGCAGGAUGAAGGCCUUCGGGUUGUAAACUGCUUUUGUACGGAACGAAAAGACUCCUUCUAAUAAAGGGGGUCCAUGACGGUACCGUAAGAAUAAGCACCGGCUAACUACGUGCCAGCAGCCGCGGUAAUUCA
This 522-nucleotide ribosomal RNA is filed under the name uncultured Acidovorax sp. Its description in RNAcentral is "bacterial SSU rRNA". It matches the Rfam family "Bacterial small subunit ribosomal RNA", at positions 8 to 527 of the family's 1533-position model. Lineage: Bacteria; Pseudomonadati; Pseudomonadota; Betaproteobacteria; Burkholderiales; Comamonadaceae. The record is from RNAcentral.